AAGUCCAUUUUAUUUCCUAAUUAUUUAUACUCUUUUU
RNAcentral lists this transfer RNA (37 nucleotides) under Dioscorea alata (purple yam). Its description in RNAcentral is "partial tRNA-Leu". The record is from RNAcentral. Lineage: Eukaryota; Viridiplantae; Streptophyta; Magnoliopsida; Dioscoreales; Dioscoreaceae.